UUGAACGCUGGCGGCAUGCUUUACACAUGCAAGUCGAACGGCAGCGGGGGCUUCGGCCUGCCGGCGAGUGGCGAACGGGUGAGUAAUACAUCGGAACGUGUCCUUAAGUGGGGAAUAACGCAUCGAAAGAUGUGCUAAUACCGCAUAUCUCUGAGGAGAAAAGCAGGGGAUCGAAAGACCUUGCGCUAAAGGAGCGGCCGAUGUCUGAUUAGCUAGUUGGUGGGGUAAAGGCUUACCAAGGCAACGAUCAGUAGUUGGUCUGAGAGGACGGCCAACCACACUGGGACUGAGACACGGCCCAGACUCCUACGGGAGGCAGCAGUGGGGAAUUUUGGACAAUGGGCGAAAGCCUGAUCCAGCCAUGCCGCGUGAGUGAAGAAGGCCUUCGGGUUGUAAAGCUCUUUUAGUCGGAAAGAAAGAGUCAAUGAAUAAUUGUGAUUUAUGACGGUACCGACAGAAAAAGCACCGGCUAACUACGUGC
Molecule: ribosomal RNA, 481 nt
Filed under: uncultured bacterium
Lineage: Bacteria
Description: bacterial SSU rRNA
Rfam family: Bacterial small subunit ribosomal RNA
Source: RNAcentral